Molecule: long non-coding RNA, 1761 nt
Filed under: Homo sapiens (human)
Lineage: Eukaryota; Metazoa; Chordata; Mammalia; Primates; Hominidae
Description: HSALNT0209475
Source: RNAcentral
GAGAUCAUGACAAUGACUCCAGAUAGACCCACACUGCUCCGGAAAUGGAAACUCCUAUUUCUCAACAAAAUCCACCUAAGCUCAAAGGAAGCCAACUCUCAGGGUCUUCCUCCGCUUCUGUUCUCUCAUGCCCCUUGGUGGAGGCUCCCAGAUGGACGCUCAGACACGGAAGGUCCAGGGAGAUGCGUGGAUCUGCCGCCAUGUGGGUGGACCAAGCUGUUGCCUCCAUUGGAAGCCUCUGUCCGGUGCCACAUCCUCCCUGGGUUCCAGUCCCCACCUGCCAGGUUGACAAUUAGGCAAUUUGAUUUACUAAGGAGAAGACAAAGAAAGAAAAGGAGAAAUAUUUCAAGAAAAAAAAGACUGUGAAAAAGAAAAAGUGAAAAAAUAGGGAAUAUAGAAAAAAAAACCGCAAUCAGGAGAGAGAAAUAAAGAAUUCCAGGAUGAUGAGUCUGGAUGGAGAAAGCCUCCGUUUCCCCACUCCAGAAGUCUGAGCUGAGUGAACUCCUUAGCAUUAAGGGAGGUGUCUCUAUGGAGGACUGAAUAUGUCUUGCGAGAGGUGGGGCAGGUGGGAUGGGGGGUGGGGUGGAGUGCUAUCCCAGUUAAGCCUUUAGGUACUAGGUACCCAGGAGGUCUCAUUAAUUCUGGAAUCAUUUUGAUAUAUUAGAUACGCUCAAGGAUGAGCUGUGUGCUGUUUCUCUUGCUGUACUAUGUGGUCCAGAUUCCAGACUCCAGAGCCCUUAGGCAAGCCCAGAACUGUCCCCACAAUCUCUGGGUGGCAGCUGCCCCAAUCAUGGCUGUCCAACCUACAGGAGCAACUAAACAUGGGAUUCCCAGGCAGGGAGGAGAUGCUGUAGGGUGGCGGAACCUGCAGCAUGGAUAGCCACCUACUCUGUCCUCUCUGUCAGGACAGCCUGACCGAGGCCCACAAGUGGCUGCUCACUCCUCCCGGCCUGACUGCACCAGUCUAGACUGGGCUCUUAGCAUCUGUCACCUGGCCUUUGUUGUUUUAAGGAGCACAAUAAUAAUAACAAUAAUUUAAAAAAAAAAAAACUCUUUUGGCUGGGUGUGGUGGCUCACACCUGUUAUCCUAGCACUUUGGGAGGCCGAGGUGGGCAGAUCACUUGAGGCCAGGAGUUUGAGACCAUCCUGGCCAACAUGGUGAAACCCUGUCUCUACUAAAAAUACAAAAAUUAGCUGGGUGUGGAGACAGAUGCCUAAAAUCCCAGCUACAGAUUCUGUCUCCAGAAAAAAAAAAAAAAAAAAAGCCAGGUAUGAUGGCGCACCACCAUAGUCCUAGCUACUCAGAAGGCUGAGGCACAAGAGUCGUUUGAACUCUGGAGGCAGAGGUUGCAAUGAGCCAAGAUCGCACCACUGCACUCCAGCCUGGAUGACAGAGCAAGACUCUGUCUCAAAAAAUAAAUGAAUAAAGAUUAAAAAGAAAUAAAAAACUAUUUUGAGCCAGGCAUAGUGGCUCAUGCCUGUAAUCCCAGCACUUUGGGAGGCUGAGGUGGGAGGAUCACUUGAAGCCAAGAGUUCGAGACCAUCCUGGGCAACAUAGUGAGACUCUGUCUCAAUAAAUAAAAAAAUAAAUAAAUAAAUGAAACUCCUUUGAGGAUCUCAACCAACAUGAGCUGUUUGUAAUUCCAGAAAUAGCCCGGACACUGAGUGGCCCUACCCCCUCAAAGGAUUCCAGGACAGCUCCCACCUUCUUAGAGGGAUGUGGAGGGAGAGCCGGCCCUGGGCAUGUGACUUCUGUGCCCU